RNAcentral lists this transfer RNA (64 nucleotides) under Platynereis sp. 1 PA-2020. RNAcentral describes it as "tRNA-Val". The record is from RNAcentral. Lineage: Eukaryota; Metazoa; Annelida; Polychaeta; Phyllodocida; Nereididae.
CAAGGUAGAGCAUGAAAUAUGCAUGUCACUUACAAUGACACGAUAGACUCCGGUCUUAUCUUGA